AAGAUGGAAACUUUCCUGGGCGGCUACAAUUAUACAUAAGACAAUGAGGUCAUCACAAGUUCUUUAAUCAUAUGCACACAGUAGAUCAAAGAAGCUUCAAUCAGACACCAAAAGACACGAGAAGGGAUAAAACUGCUAUAAUUUUGCAGUACCGAACAUCCGCGACUGACUGCUGCUAAACGAGAAGCACUGAAGGGGUUAGAUUGCCAAG
Molecule: long non-coding RNA, 211 nt
Organism: Bufo bufo (common toad)
Lineage: Eukaryota; Metazoa; Chordata; Amphibia; Anura; Bufonidae
Exons: 2
Source: RefSeq, a predicted model, not a curated record